GAUGAACGCUAGCGGCAGGCCUAACACAUGCAAGUCGAGGGGUAGCAGGAUUAAGCUUGCUUAAUUGCUGACGACCGGCGCACGGGUGCGUAACGCGUAUGCAACCUACCUUAUACUGGGGUAUAGCCCGGAGAAAUUCGGAUUAAUCCCCCAUAGUACUAAUGAAUCGCAUGGUUUAUUAGUUAAAGCAUUGCGGUAUAAGAUGGGCAUGCGUCCUAUUAGCUAGAUGGUGAGGUGACGGGUCACCAUGGCUACGAUAGGUAGGGGGCCUGGGAGGGUGGUCCCCCACACUGAUACUGAGACACGGACCAGACUCCUACGGGAGGCAGCAGUGAGGAAUAUUGGUCAAUGGGCGCAAGCCUGAACCAGCCAUGCCGCGUGCAGGAAGAAUGCCCUAUGGGUUGUAAACUGCUUUUAUUUGGGAAUAAACCUCUUUACGUGUAGAGAGCUGAAGGUACCAAAUGAAUAAGCACCGGCUAACUCCGUGCCAGCAGCCGCAGUAA
Molecule: ribosomal RNA, 503 nt
Filed under: uncultured bacterium
Lineage: Bacteria
Description: partial 16S ribosomal RNA
Rfam family: Bacterial small subunit ribosomal RNA
Source: RNAcentral